CCUACGUGAGGCAGCAGUGAGGAAUAUUGGUCAAUGGGCGCGAGCCUGAACCAGCCAAGUAGCGUGAAGGAUGACUGCCCUACGGGUUGUAAACUUCUUUUAUAAAGGACUAAAGUGAGGCACGUGUGCCUUUUUGUAUGUACUUUAUGAAUAAGGAUCGGCUAACUCCGUGCCAGCAGCCGCGGUAAUACGGAGGAUCCGAGCGUUAUCCGGAUUUAUUGGGUUUAAAGGGAGCGUAGAUGGGUUGUUAAGUCAGUUGUGAAAGUUUGCGGCUCAACCGUAAAAUUGCAAUUGAUACUGGCAGUCUUGAGUACAGUUGAGGUAGGCGGAAUUCGUGGUGUAGCGGUGAAAUGCUUAGAUAGCACGAAGAACUCCGAUUGCGAAGGCAGCUUACUAAACUGCCACUGACAUUGAUGCUCGAAAGUGUGGGUAUCAAACAGGAUUAGAUACCCCAGUAGUC
Molecule: ribosomal RNA, 460 nt
Filed under: uncultured bacterium
Lineage: Bacteria
Description: partial 16S ribosomal RNA
Rfam family: Bacterial small subunit ribosomal RNA
Source: RNAcentral